Molecule: long non-coding RNA, 972 nt
Organism: Drosophila serrata
Lineage: Eukaryota; Metazoa; Arthropoda; Insecta; Diptera; Drosophilidae
Source: RefSeq, a predicted model, not a curated record
CUCAGCUCCGACAGCCAGAACCGAGAUACAGUAUGCUCUGCUGUCGGCGUUGUUGCUAUCGAGUGUACUUAAAUCCAAUUGACAAUUUGAAAUUAAAAUGCCAAAAAGUACAGCACACACGACCACAAACCGAAGCGAGCCAGCGAGCAACAGCAGAUACGUACAUAGAUACUUGGGGGUGUGCAGAUACAUAUGCAAAGGUACUCCCUCUAGACAGCGCUGGCAGGGAAGCUGAGUGUAUAAUGAAAUGCAACGCUGCACACUGCACACGCAGCACAUCUGGGAGUGGGUUCAUCUAGGGGCGUGGGUGUGUGAGCCCGGCAGGAAUAGAAAUUGCAAUGUCAGCAAUUGGCAGCAGCAAAAUCUAAAUAAACAUUGUCACAAAAUGCAACCAAACCCCCUUUCCACCAGUCACCAGUCACCAGUCAGCAUCGGCAGCACCAGUGGAGCGAAAAGGGUUGGCCCCCAUUCCCCUCUGAACGGGGUUGUCAAUAAAAUUGCCAACAGCUACACGACUGGAGGGUCCUUCCUGGACGUAUGUAUCUGUGUGUCCUGCCAAUAGAAGAGUGUUAGAUGCAAACUGGAAUGGGGAUAGGGAGGUUGAGAAGGAGAGCUGUAAAGGGCAGGAGGGAAGCGAAGGACUCGAAGGUGACAAAUUCUGGAUCAAAUUUAAGUUUACAAAAUAGUAGAAAAAGCGUAUAUAUAAGAAAACUGAACAAAUAUUGAAUAUUGUAAGUCUAUUAUUUGGUCAAUUUAUAGAAGAGAAUCAAAUCUUUGUCAUCACCAAAAAAUAUACCUUUCUAUAUACAGGAUUGAAAUCGAAAUUUUCUAGUGGAAUCGAUACAGAGAUUUGCAAGAAAACUUAGAUUUUUGUGUGACCUCGCAUAGAGCUAAGCCUAGUUUCCGGUGUAUAAAAUCAAGCUAAAUAUAGAAGUGUUCAUCUAUCUAUCCUAUAUAACAAAGAUCAGCAAA